CAGCAGAAUGUUUUCUUUUGUAAUUUCAAGGGAUUGGACUCUAAAUCUGAUGUGUUUCCUCUGAUAAGAUGCUCACAACAGAGGCCCCCACCCUCCUUCUCUGAUACCAGCAGCUGGAGCACGGAGCAGGCUGAGGAAGGAAACUCAGCAUGAUCAAGUCCUCUCACAGAACAGUUUUAUCAACAAUUUCUAAGCUGCUCAGCUCUUCCCAAGCCCUGCAGAGACAGGUGUUCCCAGUUUACUGUAAACCGCCAGAGAAGUGUGAAACAGCUCUUACUGCACUGGCCCACAUGGAUAGGAAAUCUGCCUCCAGGACAAAUGUCUUUCAAUAAACCCGUACUCGAGACACACUCUAAGUUUAGCCUAUAAAGUAAACUCUGCAGCACUCAUUUUGGAGGGGAGAAGGGAACUGUUUUCCUUGGCAUUUCCCAUCUCUUUCUGCCUCAGCUGCAGACAGAAGGAAAGCAAAACACGCAUGUGGUCCCUAGGACGGGAGAGGAGAGGGAGAUUUUGCAGGGCUUGGCAUUAGGAUGCCGUGGUACCCUGGAGAGCCCCUCUAGUGCCACCCAGCAUGAAACCAGCAGCUCGCUGGGAUCAACCAGAAUGAGGAGCCCUGGAGCACCCUUACUGCAGUGAACAGAAAAGGAAAGCCUGGCUAAAAUGUGCAAACACAGCCUGUCAAUGCAAGGCAGAGGGCACGCAAACAAAUAAUGACAGCAGGUAAAAAAGUGAAUACAAAAUUUCCAUCCUAAAAAAAUUGUCUUCCUGUUGCUUUGGCCACUUAGAUUCCAUUACCUGGAUUUCACCAACCACCCCAAAAUCCACAGGGUGCUGGGUGCUUCAAAUUGGUCAUUCCUCUAGUUUAAAUACAGGAAAACUCCACAUGACCAGUCAUUACAGAGGAAGCAGGAACCUUGGCAGUGGAACCCAUUAUAGAGCAACCUGUCCUGAUAGCUGUGAGCAAACAGCAACAGGAAAAUACAUCAAAAUUUUCCAAAAGAGGGAGCUGACAAAGCCCUGCAGCCAGACUAUGUAUUCCAUCCUGCUUCUUCUGCAAGGCACCAGGUCAUCACCCCACUCAAGAGCAAACAGCAAAGCAAGCUCUGCCAGAUGA
This 1114-nucleotide long non-coding RNA is filed under the name Cyanistes caeruleus (blue tit). RNAcentral describes it as "lncRNA (ENSCCEG00000021082.1)". Lineage: Eukaryota; Metazoa; Chordata; Aves; Passeriformes; Paridae. The record is from RNAcentral.